RNAcentral lists this ribosomal RNA (590 nucleotides) under uncultured Burkholderia sp. Its description in RNAcentral is "bacterial SSU rRNA". It matches the Rfam family "Bacterial small subunit ribosomal RNA", at positions 418 to 1003 of the family's 1533-position model. The record is from RNAcentral. Lineage: Bacteria; Pseudomonadati; Pseudomonadota; Betaproteobacteria; Burkholderiales; Burkholderiaceae.
UCGGGUUGUAAAGCACUUUUGUCCGGAAAGAAAACUUCUGCAUUAAUACUGCGGGAGGAUGACGGUACCGGAAGAAUAAGCACCGGCUAACUACGUGCCAGCAGCGCGGUAAUCGUAGGGUGCGAGCGUUAAUCGGAAUUACUGGGCGUAAAGCGUGCGCAGGCGGUUCGUUAAGACAGAUGUGAAAUCCCCGGGCUUAACCUGGGAGCUGCAUUUGUGACUGGCGAGCUAGAGUAUGGCAGAGGGUGGUAGAAUUCCACGUGUAGCAGUGAAAUGCGUAGAGAUGUGGAGGAAUACCGAUGGCGAAGGCAGCCCCCUGGGCCAAUACUGACGCUCAUGCACGAAAGCGUGGGGAGCAAACAGGAUUAGAUACCCUGGUAGUCCACGCCCUAAACGAUGUCAACUAGUUGUUGGGGAUUCAUUUCCUUAGUAACGUAGCUAACGCGUGAAGUUGACCGCCUGGGGAGUACGGUCGCAAGAUUAAAACUCAAAGGAAUUGACGGGGACCCGCACAAGCGGUGGAUGAUGUGGAUUAAUUCGAUGCAACGCGAAAAACCUUACCUACCCUUGACAUGGUCGGAACCCUGCUG